GAAGACAGAGAGAAGCCGAAGGUCCCACCUCGACGGUCCCGAAGUUAAGACAGUCCGUUGCGAGGUCAAGAGAACAUGAUGUACUAAAAGUGAUAGCUGUAACCGAAACUGAAAAGACUGGCUGUCCUGAACUCUCAGGACCUUUCGGGGGUCGAGGACGAGAACUGUGACAACCGGAGCUGCAGCCCUGGCGUUCAUCAAGUGUUUCACCAAACACAGAAGGCAGACAACAGAUAUACGGAAACCAUACACUAGCUUGAGUCUUCCCUCAUUAUAAUUUCCUCUAUUUAUUAAGGUAGCAGAAAUAUUCAGCAUUUUCCUUUUAUCUUAAAGCAUGUUAACUUUUAAUCGUGUGCAGGUCAGACUACUAAAUAAUAAACCAUUUUAAUGAUGGUUUAGAAUAAGGGAUGAGACAGUUUGAUUAGUUGCCAGGGAGAAGGAAAAAAGAAGAACAAAUGAAGGCACCAAGGAUUAGGGUUUGUUUAAUAUCUAAUUAAGAAAUAAUCAAUCAGGGAAGAUUUGGUAAUUAAUGAACUGACUACUGAACUGAAUACCACAUAUCCAUCCAUCCAUCUAUCCCAGCAGCCAUUAGGUGAGAGGCAGG
Long non-coding RNA from Melanotaenia boesemani (Boeseman's rainbowfish), 604 nucleotides. RefSeq lists it as uncharacterized. Lineage: Eukaryota; Metazoa; Chordata; Actinopteri; Atheriniformes; Melanotaeniidae. The transcript is spliced from 3 exons. The record is from RefSeq and is a predicted model, not a curated record.